This is a non-coding RNA of Momordica charantia (bitter melon), 456 nucleotides long. The record is from RefSeq and is a predicted model, not a curated record. NCBI's taxonomy places the organism in Eukaryota, Viridiplantae, Streptophyta, Magnoliopsida, Cucurbitales, Cucurbitaceae.
UCUCCGCCACCACCGCCACCCGUCUACAUCUACGCGUCUCCUCCCCCUCCUCACUACUAGAGUACACUAAGCCUUUCCAAGGAAGCAAAAAGUGGACGUCAGAAAAUAAAUGGCACGUUGAUAAGAGGAUUAUGAUUUGGAACAGGGAAGCCUUGUUGCUGCUGCAGUGUGAUGAGUGUUGGAACUUUUUUUCUGUUGUUUAAUGUUUAGGAUUUGUCGUUUUUUCACUUCCCAAAAUUGUGUCUAUUUAUUACUUAUUAAUUAGUUGUAAUGCACUUACUGUAGCAGUCCACAUCCAAAACUAUAUAUUAUAAAAAUCUCUGCUUUGUAAAAUCAAAUCAAUUUCUGUAUUUGUAUAAUGUAAUGCUGCUGCUUCCUUUCUCCAACAAGCCCUUGGUUGUUGCAAAGUUUGCUCAUUUCCCCAUAACAAAAAAAAAAAAUUCUGUUUUUACUCUU